This 497-nucleotide ribosomal RNA is filed under the name uncultured bacterium. RNAcentral's name for it is "partial 16S ribosomal RNA". It matches the Rfam family "Bacterial small subunit ribosomal RNA", at positions 28 to 507 of the family's 1533-position model. The record is from RNAcentral.
GAUGAACGCUGGCGGCGUGCCUAAUACAUGCAAGUCGAGCGAACGGACGAGAAGCUUGCUUCUCUGAUGUUAGCGGCGGACGGGUGAGUAACACGUGGAUAACCUACCUAUAAGACUGGGAUAACUUCGGGAAACCGGAGCUAAUACCGGAUAAUAUUUUGAACCGCAUGGUUCAAAAGUGAAAGACGGUCUUGCUGUCACUUAUAGAUGGAUCCGCGCUGCAUUAGCUAGUUGGUAAGGUAACGGCUUACCAAGGCAACGAUGCAUAGCCGACCUGAGAGGGUGAUCGGCCACACUGGAACUGAGACACGGUCCAGACUCCUACGGGAGGCAGCAGUAGGGAAUCUUCCGCAAUGGGCGAAAGCCUGACGGAGCAGCGCCGCGUGAGUGAUGAAGGUCUUCGGAUCGUAAAACUCUGUUAUUAGGGAAGAACAUAUGUGUAAGUAACUGUGCACAUCUUUACGGUACCUAAUCAGAAAGCCACGGCUAACUACGUG